UGAAAUUGAUGCUGGCUUCUUGUGAUUAAUAAUUGUUGUAGGGGUCUUUUUUGUUCCGGCAGCUACUGAUGGGCCUGGGCUACUGUAAAUAGCUAAAUGUAUGAAACUUCCCCUUGAGUUUGAGUUUAAGGAUCAGACCCCAAGACUGUUUCGAAAGGACAGCUGAGUCUUAGGAAACACUAUGAUCUGCUUCACCAACGAAACCAACAGUCGUUUACAGAUAAAUUCUUGGCUUGGCAUGAGAAGCUUG
Molecule: long non-coding RNA, 250 nt
Filed under: Prunus persica (peach)
Lineage: Eukaryota; Viridiplantae; Streptophyta; Magnoliopsida; Rosales; Rosaceae
Description: long non-coding RNA (PPER_LNC004306)
Source: RNAcentral